Molecule: transfer RNA, 76 nt
Filed under: Paludibacterium paludis
Lineage: Bacteria; Pseudomonadati; Pseudomonadota; Betaproteobacteria; Neisseriales; Chromobacteriaceae
Description: tRNA-Thr
Rfam family: tRNA
About the family: Transfer RNA (tRNA) molecules are approximately 80 nucleotides in length. Their secondary structure includes four short double-helical elements and three loops (D, anti-codon, and T loops).
Source: RNAcentral
GCCAAUGUAGCUCAGUCGGUAGAGCAACUGAUUCGUAAUCAGUAGGUCGGGUGUUCGAUUCACCUCAUUGGCACCA